UACGGAGGGUGCGAGCGUUAAUCGGAAUUACUGGGCGUAAAGCGCACGCAGGCGGUCUGUGGAGUCAGAUGUGAAAUCCCCGGGCUUAACCUGGGAAUAGCAUUUCAAACUGGGAGACUGGAGUACUGUAGAGAGGGGUAGAAUUCCAGGUGUAGCGGUGAAAUGCGUAGAGAUGUGGAGGAAUACCGGAGGCGAAGGCAGCCCCCUGGAAGUAGACUGACGCUGAUGUGCGAAAGCGUGGGGAGCAAACAGG
This 253-nucleotide ribosomal RNA is filed under the name uncultured bacterium. Its description in RNAcentral is "partial 16S ribosomal RNA". It matches the Rfam family "Bacterial small subunit ribosomal RNA", at positions 524 to 776 of the family's 1533-position model. The record is from RNAcentral.